UGACACUACUGAACUGUACAGUUAAAAUGGCUGACCUUUCACUACUGAACUGUGCAGUUAAAACGGUUAAGGUGUAGCUUUCACAUGCUUAAAUUGUGCCACUUUUUUUAUUAGUGUAGGGAAAAGAAGAAAAGUGUCCCUCUUAGUCCCGUGAUUUUCGAGAGCAUCUUUACCAGACGCUUGGUUUGGUCCAACUCGAAGCAGAUAGCCAUUAAGCCAUUCAGGAAUGUGUCCUCGGACCCGAGCAGAGACAGCGCUCAGAGUCUCCUCCACCGUGGUCAGCAGUGGGGCAAUGCAUGGCAGACUCUGCUUCGGUCCCAACAUGGUUUCCUGGGUACCAGCAUGGAUUCUCCAUUCGGAACCACACCAAUCCUUGGCCGCAAGAGUAAAAGCCUUUCCUGUAAUCAGGAGCUGAGCAUCA
This is a non-coding RNA of Mus caroli (Ryukyu mouse), 421 nucleotides long. The record is from RefSeq and is a predicted model, not a curated record. NCBI's taxonomy places the organism in Eukaryota, Metazoa, Chordata, Mammalia, Rodentia, Muridae.